GCGAGGGUGGCAGAGCAUGGUCAAAUGCGCAAGACUGAGGAUGAAAAUCAGAACUCUUGUGCCUUUAGUGGCUGCGUGAGUUCAAAUCUCACCCCUCGCA
This 100-nucleotide transfer RNA is filed under the name mine drainage metagenome. RNAcentral describes it as "tRNA-Leu". It matches the Rfam family "tRNA". From Rfam's summary of the family: Transfer RNA (tRNA) molecules are approximately 80 nucleotides in length. The record is from RNAcentral.